RNAcentral lists this ribosomal RNA (292 nucleotides) under uncultured microorganism. Its description in RNAcentral is "partial 16S ribosomal RNA". It matches the Rfam family "Bacterial small subunit ribosomal RNA", at positions 505 to 796 of the family's 1533-position model. The record is from RNAcentral.
GUGCCAGCAGCCGCGGUAAGACGGAGGAUGCAAGCGUUAUCCGGAAUGAUUGGGCGUAUUCCGUCUGUAGGUGGUUUAUUAAGUCUGCUGUUAAAGCACAGGGCUCAACCCUGUAGAGGCGGUAGAAACUGGUAGGCUUGAGUAUGGUAGGGGUAGAGGGAAUUCCCGAUGUAGUGGUGAAAUGCGUUGAUAUCGGGAAGAACACCAAAGGCGAAAGCACUCUGCUGGGCCAAUACUGACACUGAGAGACGAAAGCUAGGGGAGCAAAUGGGAUUAGAUACCCCAGUAGUCC